RNAcentral lists this ribosomal RNA (253 nucleotides) under uncultured bacterium. RNAcentral's name for it is "partial 16S ribosomal RNA". It matches the Rfam family "Bacterial small subunit ribosomal RNA", at positions 524 to 776 of the family's 1533-position model. The record is from RNAcentral.
UACGAAGGGGGCGAGCGUUGUUCGGAUUUACUGGGCGUAAAGGGCGCGCAGGCGGCCUAUUUUGUCAGGCGUGAAAGCCCCGGGCCUAACCUGGGAACUGCGUUUGAUACGGAUGGGCUAGAGUUCGGGAGAGGAGAGUGGAAUUCCCAGUGUAGAGGUGAAAUUCGUAGAUAUGGGGAGGAACACCGGUGGCGAAGGCGGCCACCUGGACGGUAACUGACGCUGAGACGCGAAAGCGUGGGGAGCAAACAGG